GACGAGCAACGCGACUGGCGGCGGACGGGUGGGCAACCACCGGGGAGCUGAUCGACGCGCGGAUCGACCGCCUGGGUCCGCGAC
Molecule: non-coding RNA, 84 nt
Filed under: Pseudonocardia benzenivorans CB1190
Lineage: Bacteria; Bacillati; Actinomycetota; Actinomycetes; Pseudonocardiales; Pseudonocardiaceae
Description: Pseudonocardia dioxanivorans CB1190 ZMP/ZTP riboswitch aptamer (pfl RNA motif)
Rfam family: ZMP/ZTP riboswitch aptamer (pfl RNA motif)
About the family: Previously known as pfl RNA. ZMP is also known as AICAR.
Source: Rfam by way of RNAcentral